UACAAAAAAGCGUCACAUGCUUGGACGCAAAAAAGACUAAGAAAAACCUAAAAACUAAAAAGCCUCACACCUGAGGCGGAGGAGGAGCAGAAGUCUCGGGCAGCUCUGGAACCUUGGCAGCAGAUCCCUCCGGAGCUUUGGCACCAGCAUCACGAGCCUCCGCUUCAGCCUGGGUCGGAGGAUGCGCCUCGCUUGGUGGACGCGAAGGACCGGCCUUGUCAACCUUAGCCUUCUUCUUCGCAAUCUCCUACAAAAUACCCAUCUUAAGUAACAUUGCAAAGCAGCAAAACAAAAUACAAAAAGAAAAAACCAAAUCAAAAAUACCUCAGCGCGACGAGCCUCCGCCAUCUUCUUCGCCUCAGCCCGCCCAAACCUAAUCCAGAACGAACUGAUGAAGUUCCGGACAGA
Molecule: long non-coding RNA, 408 nt
Filed under: Sorghum bicolor (sorghum)
Lineage: Eukaryota; Viridiplantae; Streptophyta; Magnoliopsida; Poales; Poaceae
Description: long non-coding RNA (SBIC_LNC016610)
Source: RNAcentral